GUCUUUGUAGUAUAAUCAUUA
Molecule: transfer RNA, 21 nt
Filed under: Canis lupus chanco (Mongolian wolf)
Lineage: Eukaryota; Metazoa; Chordata; Mammalia; Carnivora; Canidae
Description: partial tRNA-Thr
Source: RNAcentral